AUGAGAUUCAUUGAUCUUAAUAUGUACUCCACCUUUCAGAAGCAGCUGACUUUGGAAUAUAUUGGAAUUGACAUAAAAUAUUUAAUAUUCCAACUGGAUGACAAUAACUUAAUCUUUAUGUCUUAUCCUCAAGAAUAGCAACUGACUAAUACAGGAUGUCAUUUUUAUUCUUUUCAGCCAGGAUACAUGAGUUCAGGAGGAAAGAAAUGCAAAUGGAAGUGGUACAUCUAACUAUUACAUUCAUGACUUACUUGCAAAUGUAUGGUUCACGCCUUGUGAGCUCUAUUCACAGGUCUUAUAGCAAAAGAAAGAUUGCAUACAUGAGGGAAUAUCAUGAGAAGAAUAGUUCUUGGCUAGCUUACUGGUCCCUGAAGAAGGAAAAAAGACACGUGGAGCAUAGCUGAGAUCAGCCAAACCUCCUGUAAGAAAAUGCCCAGGAUGGCUUGUGUGUCCAAGAAAAAUGUAUUAAAUUAUUUUUCCUUACAAAGACAAUUCAUGAUCUUUACAAACGUAUUCUGUGAUUAAAGAUAAGGUGUUAAAUGCACAAAAAUUUUGUCUCCUAUUUUUCAUUUUUUAAAAAUAGAAAAUGAAACAAAACUGACAUUUUAAAGGCCAUAAUACAGAUUUCAGAAACAAAUUUUAAAUGAAAACACAAGUAAAUAUUUUACUGAAUAAAAGUCUUAACGUGAAAUGAAGCUUUGUGAUAACCAAGGAUGAUAGCAUAGGAAACUCUGGUGUUCAUUUGUUAGGAUUAUGAAUGGAAAGGAAGAGAAAGGGACCUACUAGGUUGGCAUAUGAAGAGUUACCCUCAGAAAGAUAAAAGAGACCUAUUCAGUGUCUCCUAAUUUCUUCCUUUAUUUAUCUGUUCAGAAUCCAGUCUGCUUCGAGAUUCAAAGUCUUGCUGUUAAUGAUUAAUUUUCCUCCUCCAUGAAUUCUGUGUCUAUCCUUGCUAAUCAAGAUCUAGUUCAAGUUAGUAGAGAUCAACUAAAAGAGCUGGUAGGACAUGUCAAGGGAAGAGCUGAUGGUAUCAGUGAUUAGGGGAGCCUAGUAGACUUUUGAAUUGAUGACUACUCUUGCUGAAUAUGAAUAUAUUUUGUCAUAGAAAUAAAUUAAUUCUGUUUUUUUUAUAUUUUAAAACACUCGUCACUAUUGCUCAACUUCAUUAUUGAAGUUAUUGACUUUGGCAAGCAAAACAAUAAAAGUUUCAACUUGUG
Molecule: long non-coding RNA, 1214 nt
Filed under: Macaca mulatta (Rhesus monkey)
Lineage: Eukaryota; Metazoa; Chordata; Mammalia; Primates; Cercopithecidae
Description: lncRNA (ENSMMUG00000050020.1)
Source: RNAcentral